AUUUACAUAGUUUAAAAAAAACAUUACAUUUUCACUGUAAAAAUGAAUUCAUAUUUCUAUAAAUA
Molecule: transfer RNA, 65 nt
Filed under: Priasilpha obscura
Lineage: Eukaryota; Metazoa; Arthropoda; Insecta; Coleoptera; Phloeostichidae
Description: tRNA-Glu
Rfam family: tRNA
About the family: Transfer RNA (tRNA) molecules are approximately 80 nucleotides in length. Their secondary structure includes four short double-helical elements and three loops (D, anti-codon, and T loops). Further hydrogen bonds mediate the characteristic L-shaped molecular structure. tRNAs have two regions of fundamental functional importance: the anti-codon, which is responsible for specific mRNA codon recognition, and the 3' end, to which the tRNAs corresponding amino acid is attached (by aminoacyl-tRNA synthetases). tRNAs cope with the degeneracy of the genetic code in two manners: having more than one tRNA (with a specific anti-codon) for a particular amino acid; and 'wobble' base-pairing, i.e. permitting non-standard base-pairing at the 3rd anti-codon position.
Source: RNAcentral